GACGAACGCUGGCGGCGUGCUUAACACAUGCAAGUCGAACGGAAAGGCCCCUUUGGGGGUACUCGAGUGGCGAACGGGUGAGUAACACGUGAGUAACCUGCCCUUGACUCCGGGAUAACUUCAGGAAACUGGGGCUAUUACCGGAUAGGAAUCCUUGCUGCAUGGUGGGGGUUGGAAAGCUUCGGCGGUUUUGGAUGGACUCGCGGCUCAUCAGCUUGUUGGUGGGGUAGUGGCUUACCAAGGCUUUGACGGGUAGCCGGCCUGAGAGGGCGACCGGCCACAUUGGGACUGAGAUACGGCCCAGACUCCUACGGGAGGCAGCAGUGGGGAAUAUUGCACAAUGGGCGGAAGCCUGAUGCAGCAACGCCGCGUGCGGGAUGACGGCCUUCGGGUUGUAAACCGCUUUCAGCAGGGGCGAAGCUUGUGGUGACGGUACCUGCAGAAGAAGCACCGGCUAACUACGUG
This 465-nucleotide ribosomal RNA is filed under the name uncultured bacterium. Its description in RNAcentral is "partial 16S ribosomal RNA". It matches the Rfam family "Bacterial small subunit ribosomal RNA", at positions 28 to 507 of the family's 1533-position model. The record is from RNAcentral.